UACGGAGGGAGCUAGCGUUGUUCGGAAUUACUGGGCGUAAAGCGCACGUAGGCGGCUUUGUAAGUUAGAGGUGAAAGCCCGGGGCUCAACUCCGGAACUGCCUUUAAGACUACAUCGCUUGAAUCCAGGAGAGGUGAGUGGAAUUCCGAGUGUAGAGGUGAAAUUCGUAGAUAUUCGGAAGAACACCAGUGGCGAAGGCGGCUCACUGGACUGGUAUUGACGCUGAGGUGCGAAAGCGUGGGGAGCAAACAGG
This 253-nucleotide ribosomal RNA is filed under the name uncultured bacterium. RNAcentral's name for it is "partial 16S ribosomal RNA". It matches the Rfam family "Bacterial small subunit ribosomal RNA", at positions 524 to 776 of the family's 1533-position model. The record is from RNAcentral.